CAAUGAACCUAUGAAGCAUGUUUUGGUGGGAGGAAGCCGAAGUCCCCAGAGAAAACCCCAGGAUCAUACACACAGCAGGGUUGCAAGGUGUUCGAUCCCACCUUGCGAACUGCCACUGAAUGGUUGUAAAGAGUCAUUGAAGAAAGAAUGCUUUGGGGGUAGGAGCAAAAGCCACAGAUGCCCUGCUGUGCAGAGCAGAAGCUGCACAGGCAAACCCGCAGGAGGCCGACCAGAGGGCAGGGAAGCUGAGAGGUGAAGCAUGCCCUCAGCCGCUGGGAGGGUCUAUGUAGAGACCCAUAAAUGUUAACCCCUUAACGAUGUCUGAUGCAAACAUGUAUCAAACCGCUUUCGCUCCAGCCUUACCUUAAGGUAGCAUUUACAUAAAGUAAAAGCAUAUGCAAUUUGUUUUCAUAGCUGGAAAUAAAUUCAGGCGUCAAAGGAUGAAUGAGCAGCAGUCCUAAAGGCUGAUUAAUGAUCGGUAAAAAGGAACUGAUGAGGAAAUGUUCUAACUUGAUCAGACUUCAGGGAAAAUAAAUCACCUGAGAGCUUGCAUUCUAACUUUUUCAGUUCAGACUUCAGACAC
Long non-coding RNA from Oryzias latipes (Japanese medaka), 583 nucleotides. RefSeq lists it as uncharacterized. The record is from RefSeq and is a predicted model, not a curated record. Lineage: Eukaryota; Metazoa; Chordata; Actinopteri; Beloniformes; Adrianichthyidae.